AUACAGGUUGUUGCAGUUAAAAGCUCGUAGUUGGAUUUCGGAUGCGGAGGCGCGGUCUGCCUCUGGUACGUACUGCGUUUUCCGCAUCUUUCUGCCGGGGACGGCUCUCUGGGCUUCACUGUCUGGAGGUCGGAAUCGGCGAAGUGACCUUGAGCAAACAAGAGUGUUCAAAGCAAGCCUACGCUCUGAAUUUUUUAGCAUGGAAUCACACGAUAGGACUCUGGCCUAUCUUGUUGGUCUGUAGGACCGGAGUAAUGAUUAAGAGGGACAGUCGGGGGCAUUCGUAUUUCAUUGUCAGAGGUGAAAUUCUUGGAUUUAUGAAAGACGAACAUCUGCGAAAGCAUUUGCCAAGGAUGUUUUCAUUGAUCAAGAACGAAAGUUGGGGGCUCGAAG
This 393-nucleotide ribosomal RNA is filed under the name Chlorococcum sp. MACC 821. RNAcentral's name for it is "SSU rRNA". It matches the Rfam family "Eukaryotic small subunit ribosomal RNA", at positions 607 to 1003 of the family's 1831-position model. Lineage: Eukaryota; Viridiplantae; Chlorophyta; Chlorophyceae; Chlamydomonadales; Chlorococcaceae. The record is from RNAcentral.